GACGAACGCUGGCGGCGUGCUUAACACAUGCAAGUCGAACGGAAAGGCCCUGCUUUUGUGGGGUGCUCGAGUGGCGAACGGGUGAGUAACACGUGAGUAACCUGCCCUUGACUUUGGGAUAACUUCAUGAAACUGGGGCUAAUACCGGAUAGGAGCUCCUGCUGCAUGGUGGGGGUUGGAAAGUUUCGGCGGUUGGGGAUGGACUCGCGGCUUAUCAGCUUGUUGGUGGGGUAGUGGCUUACCAAGGCUUUGACGGGUAGCCGGCCUGAGAGGGUGACCGGCCACAUUGGGACUGAGCUACGGCCCAGCCUCCUACGGGAGGCAGCAGUGGGGAAUAUUGCACAAUGGGCGGAAGCCUGAUGCAGCACCGCCGCGUGCGGGAUGACGGCCUUCGGGUUGUAAACCGCUUUCGCCUGUGACGAAGCGUGAGUGACGGUAAUGGGUAAAGAAGCACCGGCUAACUACGUG
RNAcentral lists this ribosomal RNA (468 nucleotides) under uncultured bacterium. RNAcentral describes it as "partial 16S ribosomal RNA". It matches the Rfam family "Bacterial small subunit ribosomal RNA", at positions 28 to 507 of the family's 1533-position model. The record is from RNAcentral.